This 468-nucleotide ribosomal RNA is filed under the name uncultured bacterium. RNAcentral describes it as "partial 16S ribosomal RNA". It matches the Rfam family "Bacterial small subunit ribosomal RNA", at positions 28 to 507 of the family's 1533-position model. The record is from RNAcentral.
GACGAACGCUGGCGGCGUGCUUAACACAUGCAAGUCGAACGGAAAGGCCCUGCUUUUGUGGGGUGCUCGAGUGGCGAACGGGUGAGUAACACGUGAGUAACCUGCCCUUGACUUUGGGAUAACUUCAGGAAACUGGGGCUAAUACCGGAUAGGAGCUCCUGCUGCAUGGUGGGGGUUGGAAAGUUUCGGCGGUUGGGGAUGGACUCGCGGCUUAUCAGCUUGUUGGUGGGGUAGUGGCUUACCAAGGCUUUGACGGGUAGCCGGCCUGAGAGGGUGACCGGCCACAGUGGGACUGAGAUACAGUCAAGUCUCGUACGGGGAGCAGCAGUGAGGAAUGUUGCACAAUAGGCGGAAGCCUGAUGCAGCAACGCCGCGUGCGGGAUGACGGCCUUCGGGUUGUAAUCCGCUUUCGCCUGUGACGAAGCGUGAGUGACGGUAAUGGGUAAAGAAGCACCGGCUAACUACGUG